RNAcentral lists this non-coding RNA (336 nucleotides) under Pyrenophora teres f. teres 0-1. RNAcentral describes it as "Bacterial large subunit ribosomal RNA". It matches the Rfam family "Bacterial large subunit ribosomal RNA", at positions 865 to 1226 of the family's 2925-position model. The record is from Rfam by way of RNAcentral. Lineage: Eukaryota; Fungi; Ascomycota; Dothideomycetes; Pleosporales; Pleosporaceae.
UGUCUAAAUGGAUAGUUAUUGUAAAAUAACCGUUUAGGGAGAAGUACCUUUACUCUGUCCGAUAACAAGGAUAAAAUAAGGUAGAUCUGUGUGUGUCAAAAGGGAAACAGCCCAGAACAAGUGUUUAAGGUUCCAAAGUUUUUGUUAAGUGAAAGUAAGGAAGUAUUUAAACUAUACAACCAGGAAAUAGGCUUAGAAGCGGCCAUUUUUUAAAGACCUCGUAACAGAGCACUGGUUCAAAUGGUUAAUUCGUUAACCUAAUUAGUUAAAAGCGCCGAAGAUAUAACGGAUCUAAAACAAAACACCGACACCUUGUCCAUAAUAAUAAUAUUAGGU